RNAcentral lists this ribosomal RNA (601 nucleotides) under Bacillus sp. (in: firmicutes). RNAcentral describes it as "bacterial SSU rRNA". It matches the Rfam family "Bacterial small subunit ribosomal RNA", at positions 91 to 679 of the family's 1533-position model. The record is from RNAcentral. Lineage: Bacteria; Bacillati; Bacillota; Bacilli; Caryophanales; Bacillaceae.
GUUAGCGGCGGACGGGUGAGUAACACGUGGGUAACCUGCCUGUAAGACUGGGAUAACUCCGGGAAACCGGAGCUAAUACCGGAUAGUUCCUUGAACCGCAUGGUUCAAGGAUGAAAGACGGUUUCGGCUGUCACUUACAGAUGGACCCGCGGCGCAUUAGCUAGUUGGUGAGGUAACGGCUCACCAAGGCGACGAUGCGUAGCCGACCUGAGAGGGUGAUCGGCCACACUGGGACUGAGACACGGCCCAGACUCCUACGGGAGGCAGCAGUAGGGAAUCUUCCGCAAUGGACGAAAGUCUGACGGAGCAACGCCGCGUGAGUGAUGAAGGUUUUCGGAUCGUAAAGCUCUGUUGUUAGGGAAGAACAAGUGCAAGAGUAACUGCUUGCCCUUGACGGUACCUAACCAGAAAGCCACGGCUAACUACGUGCCAGCAGCCGCGGUAAUACGUAGGUGGCAAGCGUUGUCCGGAAUUAUUGGGCGUAAAGGGCUCGCAGGCGGUUUCUUAAGUCUGAUGUGAAAGCCCCCGGCUCAACCGGGGAGGGUCAUUGGAAACUGGGAAACUUGAGUGCAGAAGAGGAGAGUGGAAUUCCACGUGUAGC